GUGGGGAAUAUUGGACAAUGGGGGGAACCCUGAUCCAGCCAUGCCGCGUGUGUGAAGAAGGCCUUUUGGUUGUAAAGUACUUUAAGCGAGGAGGAGGCUACCGAGAUUAAUACUCUUGGAUAGUGGACGUUACUCGCAGAAUAAGCACCGGCUAACUCUGUGCCAGCAGCCGCGGUAAUACAGAGGGUGCAAGCGUUAAUCGGAUUUACUGGGCGUAAAGCGCGCGUAGGUGGCCAAUUAAGUCAAAUGUGAAAUCCCCGAGCUUAACUUGGGAAUUGCAUUCGAUACUGGUUGGCUAGAGUAUGGGAGAGGAUGGUAGAAUUCCAGGUGUAGCGGUGAAAUGCGUAGAGAUCUGGAGGAAUACCGAUGGCGAAGGCAGCCAUCUGGCCUAAUACUGACACUGAGGUGCGAAAGCAUGGGGAGCAAACAGGAUUAGAAACCCGGGUAGUCC
This 451-nucleotide ribosomal RNA is filed under the name uncultured bacterium. Its description in RNAcentral is "partial 16S ribosomal RNA". It matches the Rfam family "Bacterial small subunit ribosomal RNA", at positions 354 to 796 of the family's 1533-position model. The record is from RNAcentral.